This 432-nucleotide ribosomal RNA is filed under the name uncultured bacterium. RNAcentral describes it as "partial 16S ribosomal RNA". It matches the Rfam family "Bacterial small subunit ribosomal RNA", at positions 29 to 507 of the family's 1533-position model. The record is from RNAcentral.
AACGAACGCUGGCGGCAUGCCUAACACAUGCAAGUCGAACGAGACCUUCGGGUCUAGUGGCGCACGGGUGCGUAACGCGUGGGAACCUGCCCUUAGGUUCGGAAUAACUCCCCGAAAGGGGUGCUAAUACCGGAUAAUGUCUUCGGACCAAAGAUUUAUCGCCUUUGGAUGGGCCCGCGUUGGAUUAGCUAGUUGGUAGGGAAAAGCCUACCAAGGCGACGAUCCAUAGCUGGUCUGAGAGGAUGAUCAGCCACACUGGGACUGAGACACGGCCCAGACUCCUACGGGAGGCAGCAGUGGGGAAUAUUGGACAAUGGGCGAAAGCCUGAUCCAGCAAUGCCGCGUGAGUGAUGAAGGCCUUAGGGUUGUAAAGCUCUUUUACCCGGGAUAAUAAUGACAGUACCGGGAGAAUAAGCUCCGGCUAACUCCGUG